This 253-nucleotide unclassified non-coding RNA is filed under the name uncultured Rhodobacterales bacterium. RNAcentral describes it as "contains 16S-23S intergenic spacer region". It matches the Rfam family "Bacterial small subunit ribosomal RNA", at positions 524 to 776 of the family's 1533-position model. The record is from RNAcentral. Lineage: Bacteria; Pseudomonadati; Pseudomonadota; Alphaproteobacteria; Rhodobacterales.
UACGGAGGGGACUAGCGUUGUUCGGAAUUACUGGGCGUAAAGCGCGCGUAGACGGAUUAGUCAGUCAGAGGUGAAAUCCCGGGGCUCAACCCCGGAACUGCCUUUGAUACUGCUAGUCUUGGGUUCGAGAGAGGUGAGUGGAAUUCCGAGUGUAGAGGUGAAAUGCGUAGAGAUCGGGAGGAACACCAGUGGCGAAGGCGGCUCACUGGCUCGAAACUGACGCUGAGGUGCGAAAGCGUGGGGAGCAAACAGG